RNAcentral lists this long non-coding RNA (233 nucleotides) under Lathyrus oleraceus (garden pea). Its description in RNAcentral is "Pisum sativum (pea) long non-coding RNA (PSAT_LNC023905)". Lineage: Eukaryota; Viridiplantae; Streptophyta; Magnoliopsida; Fabales; Fabaceae. The record is from RNAcentral.
UUUUCAGUUCAGCAGCAUUUCAAGUUGAUUCAUCGAUGAGAUUUGAAUGGAAUGGAGCUCUUAUUUAUAGAUGGAAAGGCAAGGCAAGUGUGAUUCAAUCCGUGUGCAUGGAAUUGGAUAUUCAUUGCAUGGGCUUGCAUGAUCAUGCAAAAGGCCCAAAUUCAAUGCCAAAUGCAAUCUAAAAUGAAUGUGAGAUGAUUUGGACACGUAGUUUGGAGUGAAAUGGCUUGUGC